Non-coding RNA from Pelobates cultripes (western spadefoot toad), 589 nucleotides. The record is from the annotation of a GenBank genome assembly. Lineage: Eukaryota; Metazoa; Chordata; Amphibia; Anura; Pelobatidae.
CUUGGCGGCAGACAGGCACAGUGCUGUAUACAGGGCGGCAGAUUGGCACAGUGCUGGGUACAGGAGCUGCAGACAGGCACAGUGCUGUAUACAGGGCGGCAGAUUGGCACAGUGCUGGGUACAGGAGCGGCAGACAGGCACAGUGCUGUAUACAGGGCGGCAGAUUGGCACAGUGCUGGGUACAGGAGCGGCAGACAGGCACAGUGCUGUAUACAGAGCUGCAGAUUGGCACAGUGCUGGGUACAGGAGCGGCAGACAGGCACAGUGCUGGGUACAGGAGCUGCAGACAGGCACAGUGCUGUAUACAGGGCGGCAGAUUGGCACAGUGCUGGGUACAGGAGCGGCAGAUUGGCACAGUGCUGUAUACAGGGCGGCAGACUGGCACAGUGCUGGGUACAGGAGCGGCAGAUUGGCACAGUGCUGUAUACAGGGCGGUAGAUUGGCACAGCGCUGGGUACAGGGCAGCAGGGCAUGGCAGUGAUGGUAGUGGGCAUGGUGGGUACUUGGCUAUAGGCAGAGUGGGCAGUCAGCUAUAGGCACUGUCAGCAGGCAGGCUGGGAGGUGGGUUCCAGGCACAGUGGGCAUCAGG